GACGAACCGUGCGAACGUUAUUCGGAAUCACUGGGCUUAAAGCGCGUGUAGGCGGGUCGGCACGUCCGAGGCUGAAAGCCCCCCGGCUCAACCGGGGGAAGGGGGCCCGGAUACGACCGACCUGGAGGGGCGUAGGGGGACCUGGAACUUCCGGUGGAGCGGUGAAAUGCGUUGAGAUCGGAAGGAACGCCCGUGGCGAAAGCGAGGUCCUGGACGCCAUCUGACGCUGAGACGCGAAAGCCAGGGGAGCGAACGGG
RNAcentral lists this ribosomal RNA (257 nucleotides) under uncultured bacterium. RNAcentral's name for it is "partial 16S ribosomal RNA". It matches the Rfam family "Bacterial small subunit ribosomal RNA", at positions 524 to 776 of the family's 1533-position model. The record is from RNAcentral.